Molecule: ribosomal RNA, 632 nt
Filed under: uncultured Delftia sp.
Lineage: Bacteria; Pseudomonadati; Pseudomonadota; Betaproteobacteria; Burkholderiales; Comamonadaceae
Description: bacterial SSU rRNA
Rfam family: Bacterial small subunit ribosomal RNA
Source: RNAcentral
UGCAGUCGAACGGUAACAGGUCUUCGGACGCUGACGAGUGGCGAACGGGUGAGUAAUACAUCGGAACGUGCCCAGUCGUGGGGGAUAACUACUCGAAAGAGUAGCUAAUACCGCAUACGAUCUGAGGAUGAAAGCGGGGGACCUUCGGGCCUCGCGCGAUUGGAGCGGCCGAUGGCAGAUUAGGUAGUUGGUGGGAUAAAAGCUUACCAAGCCGACGAUCUGUAGCUGGUCUGAGAGGACGACCAGCCACACUGGGACUGAGACACGGCCCAGACUCCUACGGGAGGCAGCAGUGGGGAAUUUUGGACAAUGGGCGAAAGCCUGAUCCAGCAAUGCCGCGUGCAGGAUGAAGGCCUUCGGGUUGUAAACUGCUUUUGUACGGAACGAAAAAGCUUCUCCUAAUACGAGAGGCCCAUGACGGUACCGUAAGAAUAAGCACCGGCUAACUACGUGCCAGCAGCCGCGGUAAUACGUAGGGUGCGAGCGUUAAUCGGAAUUACUGGGCGUAAAGCGUGCGCAGGCGGUUAUGUAAGACAGAUGUGAAAUCCCCGGGCUCAACCUGGGAACUGCAUUUGUGACUGCAUGGCUAGAGUACGGUAGAGGGGGAUGGAAUUCCGCGUGUAGCAGUGAAU